GGCGAGGGGAGUGAAAAAGAACCUGAAACCGUGUACGUACAAGCAGUGGGAGCGCAGGUUUACCUGUGUGACUGCGUACCUUUUGUAUAAUGGGUCAGCGACUUAUAUUCUGUAGCAAGGUUAACCGUAUAGGGGAGCCGUAGGGAAACCGAGUCUUAACCGGGCGUUAAGUUGCAGGGUAUAGACCCGAAACCCGGUGAUCUAGCCAUGGGCAGGUUGAAGGUUGGGUAACACUAACUGGAGGACCGAACCGACUAAUGUUGAAAAAUUAGCGGAUGACCUGUGGCU
This 288-nucleotide ribosomal RNA is filed under the name Salmonella enterica subsp. enterica serovar 1,4,[5],12:i:-. RNAcentral's name for it is "partial 23S ribosomal RNA". It matches the Rfam family "Bacterial large subunit ribosomal RNA", at positions 528 to 816 of the family's 2925-position model. The record is from RNAcentral. Lineage: Bacteria; Pseudomonadati; Pseudomonadota; Gammaproteobacteria; Enterobacterales; Enterobacteriaceae.